UACGAGGGGGGCAAGCGUUGUUCGGAAUUAUUGGGCGUAAAGGGCGCGUAGGCGGUGCGGUAAGUCACCUGUGAAAACUCUGGGCUCAACUCAGAGCCUGCAGGCGAAACUGCCGUGCUUGAGUGUGGGAGAGGUGCGUGGAAUUCCCGGUGUGGCGGUGAAAUGCGUAGAUAUCGGGAGGAACACCUGUGGCGAAAGCGGCGCACUGGACCACAACUGACGCUGAGACGCGAAAGCGUGGGGAGCAAACAGG
This 253-nucleotide ribosomal RNA is filed under the name uncultured bacterium. RNAcentral describes it as "partial 16S ribosomal RNA". It matches the Rfam family "Bacterial small subunit ribosomal RNA", at positions 524 to 776 of the family's 1533-position model. The record is from RNAcentral.